ACGAACGCUGGCGGCAUGCCUAACACAUGCAAGUCGAACGAGACCUUCGGGUCUAGUGGCGCACGGGUGCGUAACGCGUGGGAACCUGCCCUUAGGUUCGGAAUAACUCCCCGAAAGGGGUGCUAAUACCGGAUAAUGUCUUCGGACCAAAGAUUUAUCGCCUUUGGAUGGGCCCGCGUUGGAUUAGCUAGUUGGUAGGGUAAAAGCCUACCAAGGCGACGAUCCAUAGCUGGUCUGAGAGGAUGAUCAGCCACACUGGGACUGAGACACGGCCCAGACUCCUACGGGAGGCAGCAGUGGGGAAUAUUGGGCAAUGGGCGAAAGCCUGAUCCAGCAAUGCCGCGUGAGUGAUGAAGGCCUUAGGGUUGUAAAGCUCUUUUACCCGGGAUGAUAAUGACAGUACCGGGAGAAUAAGCUCCGGCUAACUCCGU
RNAcentral lists this ribosomal RNA (431 nucleotides) under uncultured bacterium. Its description in RNAcentral is "partial 16S ribosomal RNA". It matches the Rfam family "Bacterial small subunit ribosomal RNA", at positions 29 to 506 of the family's 1533-position model. The record is from RNAcentral.